RNAcentral lists this long non-coding RNA (755 nucleotides) under Bos taurus (domestic cattle). Its description in RNAcentral is "long non-coding RNA NONBTAT022801". Lineage: Eukaryota; Metazoa; Chordata; Mammalia; Artiodactyla; Bovidae. The record is from RNAcentral.
AGCUUUUCACACCGCCGCGCAACAGGCUGAAGUUAGAAGGAGCGAUAUUUGCAAAACCUAAAUGUUUAAAGUUACUUUUCUUUUAUUAACCGACGUGUGAGAUCAGUUGAGCGUGUCUGUAACGUCGGGAAGUCUUAACUGGAUGAGACAGCUCCACCACUGAUUCUGGCAGGCACUAGACACUUAAUAUGUUCUAGCUGGGAGCUGAGCUGGCCGAGAAUAUGAGGUUUGCUUCAAGCAUUGGGUUUAAGGUUUUUAUGUUGCUGUUAUUUAUUUAUAGACUUUAUAAGGGUUUAUGUAUUUUUCUUUCUUCCAGAGCUUCCUAAAAAUUGAUUAGCAUCUGCACUGAAAUAUAAUUUUUAACAGCAAAGGCAAAAAAAGAAUUGGAAGUUGUAAAAUUCCUUUAAAAAAAUCACUACAGUGACGAUCAUCCUAGAAAUCGUUGCUCGUGUAGCCGAGACCAAAUAAAUAGAUUUCAGACACAACCUUUAGCUCGGUGAUUUCGGACAGUUUCAGGUUUGUGAGUGAGUGAUCACAAGGAAAAAGCAUCUCUUUAAAAAGCUGGCAAAACGCCGGAACACACUGUGGUAUGAGGCGCGCUGCACGUCUUGGCGCUGAAGCGCCCGUUCCCCUCCUGGGCCGAGAUUCUUUUCCCGUGGCCGUAUCGUUCUGAUUUCACGUGCACCACAGUAACCGAUUUUUUGUUUUGUUUUGUUUUCUUGUGGAGUUAACACCAAAUAAAAAAGUUAAAAAGC